RNAcentral lists this ribosomal RNA (479 nucleotides) under uncultured bacterium. RNAcentral describes it as "partial 16S ribosomal RNA". It matches the Rfam family "Bacterial small subunit ribosomal RNA", at positions 28 to 523 of the family's 1533-position model. The record is from RNAcentral.
GACGAACGCUGGCGGCGUGCUUAACACAUGCAAGUCGGGCGAUGAAGCACCUUCGGGUGUGGAUUAGCGGCGAACGGGUGAGGAACACGUGAGGAAUCUGCCUUCCACUCUGGGAUAACUCCGGGAAACCGGGGCUAAUACCGGAUACUUUCAACUGGCGGCAUCGCCGGUUGAAGAAAGUUGUUCGGUGGAAGAUGACCUAGCGGCCUAUCAGCUUGUUGGUGGGGUAAUGGCUCACCAAGGCGACGACGGGUAGCCGGCCUGAGAGGGCGACCGGCCACACUGGGACUGAGACACGGCCCAGACUCCUACGGGAGGCAGCAGUGGGAAUAUUGGGCAAUGGAGGAAACUCUGACCCAGCGACGCCGCGUGAGGGAUGAAGGCCUUCGGGUUGUAAACCUCUUUCAGCAGGGAAUAAGCGAAAGUGAAGGUACCUGCAGAAGAAGCACCGGCUAACUAUGAGCCAGCCGCCGCGGUAA